AUACGGAGGGUGUAAGCGUUAAUCGGAAUUACUGGGCGUAAAGCGUGCGUAGGUGGUUUGUUAAGUUAGAUGUGAAAGCCCCGGGCUCAACCUGGGAACUGCAUUUGAAACUGGCAUACUAGAGUAUAGGAGAGGAAAGUGGAAUUUCAGGUGUAGCGGUGAAAUGCGUAGAUAUCUGAAGGAACAUCAAUGGCGAAGGCAGCUUUCUGGACUAAUACUGACACUGAGGUACGAAAGCGUGGGUAGCAAACAGGAUUAGAAACCCUAGUAGUCC
Molecule: ribosomal RNA, 274 nt
Filed under: uncultured bacterium
Lineage: Bacteria
Description: partial 16S ribosomal RNA
Rfam family: Bacterial small subunit ribosomal RNA
Source: RNAcentral